This 400-nucleotide ribosomal RNA is filed under the name uncultured bacterium. RNAcentral's name for it is "bacterial SSU rRNA". It matches the Rfam family "Bacterial small subunit ribosomal RNA", at positions 356 to 773 of the family's 1533-position model. The record is from RNAcentral.
GGGGAAUAUUGGACAAUGGGCGCAAGCCUGAUCCAGCAAUGCCGCGUGAGUGAUGAAGGCCUUAGGGUUGUAAAGCUCUUUUACCAGGGAUGAUAAUGACAGUACCUGGAGAAUAAGCUCCGGCUAACUCCGUGCCAGCAGCCGCGGUAAUACGGAGGGAGCUAGCGUUGUUCGGAAUUACUGGGCGUAAAGCGCGCGUAGGCGGCUUAUCAAGUCAGGGGUGAAAUCCCGGGGCUCAACCCCGGAACUGCCCUUGAAACUGGUAAGCUAGAAUCUUGGAGAGGUCAGUGGAAUUCCGAGUGUAGAGGUGAAAUUCGUAGAUAUUCGGAAGAACACCAGUGGCGAAGGCGACUGACUGGACAAGUAUUGACGCUGAGGUGCGAAAGCGUGGGGAGCAAAC